RNAcentral lists this long non-coding RNA (4625 nucleotides) under Gossypium barbadense (sea-island cotton). RNAcentral's name for it is "long non-coding RNA (GBAR_LNC017737)". Lineage: Eukaryota; Viridiplantae; Streptophyta; Magnoliopsida; Malvales; Malvaceae. The record is from RNAcentral.
AAAGUGGCCAUAUUCAUUAUCUUUGUGCCGAAUGAAAAGAGAAAGAAAAUAAGAAAACCAAGCUAUGUAUUCGGCCCUUGCUCAAGCAAAUUAAGGUAUGUUUCGGUUUCGGUUUUUGAUGAUUUUUAUGUUUUUGAGAUCGUUGUUUCGAAUACUACUCGACCCAUGCUUAAAUUUUUGAAUUUGAUGAUGAUUUUGUGUUUUGCCAUUGUUGAAAGCUUGUAAUUUUGUUGUUUAAUGAUAGAAAAUAAAAUAUAUGAAAUGGAUAUAUAUAUAUAUGUUGAAAUUGAAUUUUUAAUGAUUUUGAGUAAUUAAGGCUAAAUUGUAAAAAUAAUAAAUUGAGGAACUAAAAUAUGAAAUAAAUGACAUGCAUGGAUUUAUAUGAGCUUAGUGCAUAUUCGGCCAAGCUAUUGUGCAAGGAAAGUUUGUUUAUUUUGUAUUUUUUGUGAAAUAGGGACUAAUUUGUGAAAAAUGUGAAAUGUUAGGGGAAAAAGUGUAAUUUUCCCAUUUAUGUGUUUUUGGAUUUAAUUAAAUGAAUAUGUGGUUAAAUUAGUUAAAUUUGAACUUAUUUAGAUCAAGAAUAGAAGAAAACGGAAUUAGAUCGGGGAAAGUCGAAAGUAGUCGACUAUGUUCGUCGAUAUCCGAGGUAAGUCUAUUAGCAAUUUAAAAGUUAAUAAAUCAAUAUUUAUACAUGUAUAUCGAUUGUAUACUUGAUGAGUUGUAAUUAAAUGUUUAUAAUUUGAAGUAUAAGUAUAAAUUUUAUAUAAGUAUUUAAUAGUUUCAAAUAUACAAGUAUAAUCUUGUAUAAGUUCAUGAGUUAAAUUAUAGGUUUAAAUUUUAUAUAAGUAAAGGUGAGAUUCGGAUAGGCAUGUAUAUAUAUGAAAAUCUAUUGUAAUGAAAUUAGGUAAGAAAUUAUACUUGUAUAUGAUAGAUUCAAAAAUAUAUGUAAUAGAAUGAAUAAACCUUGAAUUUAGAUAAAGGUAUGAGUAUGUAUAUAUAUAUUUAUAAUUAUAUACAUAAUGAUCGAAUAUAUAUACAUAUGUAUACAUAUAUAUAUAGUUUUUGAAUUUAGUGGAAGUAUGAAUGUUGUAUAUGUAUGAAUUCUUGGUUUUAAUCCAAGAUAAGUAUGAUAUAUACAUAUAUAUGUACAUUAUGUCCGAAUAUAUGUAUAUAAAUAUAUAUGUAUAAGCUCUUAGAUUUGAUUAAGAUAUGUAACUUAUAUUUGUAUAUGUGAGUUGGUAAUUAUAUAUAUAUUAUAUUUGAAUGAACAGGUAUACAUACACGUAUAUGAUUUUAUAGUGAAUUUAGGUAUGACAAUUAUACAAGGUUACAUGAGGUUCGAUUAUGCUAAUAUACAAGUAUAUAUUCAUGUAAAGUUCUUGAAUAGCAUUGAAAGUAUGAAAUUAUUAGUUGGAUUAUUAAAAGAUGAUCGAAUAUAUGAUAUUAGUAGUAGAUUAAUGCAUUAAGUUAUAUAUAUAUAGGUUUGGAUGUAUAAUUAAAUUAUUGAGCUGGAAUUGAUGUUUGAACUUUAUACAUCUAUGUUAUUUAAAGAUAUAGUUUAUAAAUUAUUGAGCUGAAUUUUAUGUGGAUUCUAUAUACAAAUAUGAGAUACAACUUCUGUGAAUUGAGAUUUUUUUUAAAGCUUAGUACCAAUCAGAUUAAUUGCCGGUGAAAUGUUUCAGACUUUACGUCUAGCAGGCUAAGUGCCGAUGAACUGAAUCAGGCUAUAAGCCUAGCGGGCUAAGUACCGGUGAACUGAAUCAGGUUAUAAGCCUAGCAGGUGAAGUGCCAGUGAAUCUGUUUAAAUUAAGUGAUUAUAUGCAUUGGGUAUAUAUAUAUAUAUGAUUUUGGUUAUAUGUAAUGGAUAAAUAUAUGAACAUUUGUUUCAAUGUAUUUGAUGAGCAUAUAAACGUUCGGAUCUUUGUGAUUAGUGAGUAUGUACAUAUAUUGGUUGUCAUGAAAUUGUUGGAUAUAUAUAUAUACAUUCGGCCAAAUGUUAAACUUAUGUGUAUUUGGUUAAAUAUGGAUUUGAUGUAUAGUACGUGUUUGAUAAAUGUAUUUUUCGAUUAUGGAAAUGUAUAUGAAUAUUGAAAACAUGAUUUGAUUUUGUUGUAACUAAUUAAAUGUUGUUAAGUUAUCUAUUUGCUUAUGACUUACUAAGCUGUAAUAGCUUACUCUGUGUGUUUUUCUUAUAUUUUUAGAGUUCUAAAGACUUGCUCGGGUUGGAAGACGUUGGAAUCGUGAUCACACUAUCCGGUUAUGGCUUUGGUAAAUUAAAGCUUUGAGUUUUUGGUUAUGUGGCAUGUAUAGGCUAGUUUUAAUUUAGUUUUUGUAUAUAUAUUUAGCCAUGUGAAAAUGGCUUGAUCUAAUGCUAAUGAUCCAAGGUUUAAGUAAUUUUGGUCAUAGUAAAGGCGUGGGGUAUGCUUGGUAUAUGAAUUUGGUAAGACGUAAUGAUAUAUAUAUGUGUGUCUUUGAUAAGUUAUUUGAUAAUUCGGUAUGUAAAGGACUAAUGGUUUUAAUGCUUGAAUUACAAAAUGUGUUAUAUGUCUACAUAGUGGUAUGAUCGAUUAUGGUAAUUGACUUAUUAUUGUAAGUAUGAAAUAUUUGCAUUGGGUGUGUAUAUGAAAUUUUGAUAUGAGUUAUACUGUAUGAAAUUGGCAUAUUUUGAAUGGCUAAAGUACUUGGAAAAUGGCUAAUGUUAGUCAAGUGAAUAAAGUAUGUAUUGGUUUUAUAUGUAUUUUAGGCUUAAUAAUUAGCAUGCGAAUUGAGUGUAAAUUGUAUGGUUAGUUUGCUAGCCAAAUAGAAGAUAAGAUGAAUGGAAAAGCAUACACAUGUUUUGUACUUAAAUGGGAAGUUAGGCAUGUAUGACUUAUUAGUUGAGUUUAAAAAAAAAAAAGUGGUGCAUAGUUGAUAAGGUUAAAUGCAUUAGUGGCUAAGAUGUUUAUAUGCUAAACUUGACUAUUUGGUGAAAUUGAUUAUGUUAUAUUUUCUAAUGGACAAUAAGCCGAGCGAUAUGGAUUGUUUGGUUUUAUGCACAUGAAUAGAAGUAUGAAUUGAUAUAUUUGAUAUUCAGCUUAAGAAGUAAAAUAUGCUUGGAUGUCUUAAUGUAUGUGCAUGGAAUUUAUAAUGUGAUGAGUCAUCUUAUAAUUUGAUUUUGAAUGAUAUAAGUAAGAGGUAUAUAUGUUUCGAAUGAUGGGAUUUUAAAGCAUGUGUAAUAUGACUAUUUUGAGCCGUGUUUUAUAUGGUAAUGCCUUGUAACCUUAUUCCGGCGACGGAUAUAGGUUAUGGGUGUUACAGUAUCGGAUUAGUAGAUUCUCGUAAACGAACAAGUGUCGAGGUAAGUUCGUGUAACUAAAUUGUGUACAUUUAUAUGUUUGAAUUAAAUGGUAUAUAUGUGAAUUGUAUAAUUUCCAUGUAUAUAAAAUUGAUUAAAUACCCGAAAAUGCCUGAUAAAUGUUAAGUUCCGUUUGAACAAAUGAAAAUCGACAAAUACAAGUUUCAUGUAUUGGUUGUAGUCCUGCAUAUGUUGCGGACACAACACAGCUCGAAAGAGCGUCCAUUUAUUAGCCCUCUCGAGCUUCCUGUUAUAUGGUUCUUGCGAGUUUUUCGUUAAUAGCUCUUCGGAGCAUCCCGAUUGGUUGUGAUCCUAUAUGUGUUGUGGACACACCACAACUCUUAUGAGCUUCCUGAUUAUGGCUCUUUGUGAGCUUCCCGUUAAUUGGCUCUUUGUGAGCUUCCCAAUAAGGCUCACUUGGACUUCUCGAUAUUAAGCUAUCCGGUGCUUCCUGUUAAUGGCUCUUCGGAGCUACUCGAUAUUGGAUCGCAUGAGCUUCCUGAAUAUGGCUCUUAUAAGCUUCCCUUUACAUGGCUCACAUGAGCUUCCCGUUAUAUGGCUCGAGAGAGUGUUUCCUGUUUAAGUGUUCUUAUAAACACUCUUGAAUAUGAAUUGACGAAUUACAGAUUCGUACACUUCAUGUGUACUACCCGAUGUCUAUCGAUAUUUCAUAAGGUUCAAUGAGCAAAGUCCUGAUAUAAGUUAAGAUAAGGUCUGAAUGAAUUAAUAAUUGUAUCUACCUGAAAAUACAUGGAAAUGUUUAUACUAUGAGUUCAUCUCUGUUACUUACUUGAAAUGCAUUUGAAAUAUAUGACUAACUUGUUUGAGGAUGUAUAUGUGUUAGGUUAUUGAUUAAUUUGAUUUGGAUGUACUUUGUAUGCUUAUUUUAAAUGAAUAUGAAUGGUAAGUCAUUUUAUCGUUAUACGAACUUACUAAGCAUUAAAUGCUUACUUUGUUUUAUUUUCUCUAUUUUAUAGUACUCGGAAGCUCGUAAAGGUUGGAGCGGGUCGGAGCAAGAUCACACUAUCCUUCAGCUCUUUUUGGUAUAAAUAGUAAACUUUAAUUAGGAUAUAAUGACAUGUAUAGGUUAAAUUGGUUAAUUGUUGGCGUACACAUGUUUUGGUUGUAAAUAGCCAUUGGAAUGGCUUGUAAUGGUCAUGUUUUGAUAUAUAUACAUAUGGUAUUAUCAUGUUUGAAUUAUGAAUAUGAUUAUGUAUAUAUGCAUUUGGUAUCUAGGUAAGUAUAAGUUUUAGAAUAACACAAUAAUAAAUUGUCUAUUGGGAAGCCUAAG